AUACGUAGGGGGCGAGCGUUGUCCGGAAUGAUUGGGCGUAAAGGGCGCGUAGGCGGCCUGUUAAGUCUGGAGUGAAAGUCCUGUUUUCAAGAUGGGAAUUGCUUUGGAUACUGAUGGGCUUGAGUGCAGGAGAGGUUAUCGGAAUUCCCGGUGUAGCGGUGAAAUGCGUAGAGAUCGGGAGGAACACCAGUGGCGCAGGCGGGUAAAUGGACUGAAACGGACUCUGAGGCGCGAAAGUGUGGGGAACAAACAGGAUUAGAUACCCUGGUAGUCCACGCCGUAAACGAUGAUUACUAGGUGUUGGUUGUCAUAGACAAUCGGUGCCGCAGCAAACGCAAUAAGUAAUCCACCUGGGGAGUACGGUCGCAAGAAGGAAACUCAAAUGAAUUGACGGGG
RNAcentral lists this ribosomal RNA (396 nucleotides) under uncultured bacterium. RNAcentral describes it as "partial 16S ribosomal RNA". It matches the Rfam family "Bacterial small subunit ribosomal RNA", at positions 523 to 918 of the family's 1533-position model. The record is from RNAcentral.